Marmota monax (woodchuck) is the source of this 3851-nucleotide long non-coding RNA. RefSeq lists it as uncharacterized. The record is from RefSeq and is a predicted model, not a curated record. The transcript has 2 exons. NCBI's taxonomy places the organism in Eukaryota, Metazoa, Chordata, Mammalia, Rodentia, Sciuridae.
CUCCAGCUCUCAGUAAGGAGCCCUCCAGCAGCCAUUGCUGUGUCUCUCCAGCCUUUCUGAGGGCUCUCGUCGCGCUCCCAGGCUGGAGGGACCCACACCAAGCUCCUCCCGCCUCUGGAAGCUGGCGUCUCUGAGUGCCGCGCCUGGGUAACCUGUAGGUCAAAGACAGCCUCCUGGAGCUUCUGAGGGAGCACUGCCCUCUGAGAAAUUGUAGUCACAUGGUUUAGCAGCCAUUUGUGGAAAGUGGAAACAGCACGAAGAACUUGACUCUGGAGAAGCCUGGGUGCAUCCAUGUCCCAUGCUGGGCGAUGCUCAAGGAGCAGUGGAGGGCAAAGGACCCAGCGACUCCCCCAGGGUUUUGCACAUCACCCUGCCAUGAGGAUUAGCUCCUAACAUCAGCUCCUGCACUAUUUCUCCAAUGGAUGAGGGUGCUGGAUUUGGGCAAUAUUGUUACCUAAGCUUCCUACUGACUAAUGUCAUGUGAGAAGGGUCUAUGGGACAAGAACUUAGAAGCUGGAAAUUAAGAGUAAGUUCCCUCUCUCAGUGUUUUCAACCAUUUGGUGGUAAAUACAGAGGGUCUUUCAUUCAAGAAAUCUCAUGUCAGAUAUUUUAUUUGUGCAUUCUUUGGGUGAGAUGGUCAGACCCUUAAAUUAUCCAUAGAUAAAAACAUCACCAACAUGAGCCACAAAUUAAAAAUUUUCUAGUUAGUGCAUUAAAAAGUAAAGAGAACUAGCUAAAUUAGUUUUACUACUAUCAUUAUUUAAUCCAAGGUGUCUAAAAUAUAAUCAUAUAACAUUGAAUCAAUAUAAAUGUUUUUGAAUUAUUUCACUUUUGUUAUACUUAGUCUUCAAAGUUUGGUUUAUAUUUUAGCCCUACAGUCCAUCUCAGCUUGGACCUUUUCAAUAGCUCCUUUUCAAGUGUUUCAAGUGCUCAAAAACCACUUGGAACCAGUGGCACUGGUAUGGAUCAGCACUGCUUAUCCUCCACAUGUUUCAGAACCUUUGAAGAGGAGGCCCUUUGAGAGGGUCCCUUUGACUGGAUUGCACACAGAUUCUGUGUCAGCCUGAGAACUCACCUGUCUUUGGCCUCAUCCCCUUAUCUGUGGUGGGAGCACUGAGGGGAAACCAGUAGAGGCCAGGGGGCUGAAGGCCAGGAGUGGGUUUUUUCUACUUUCAUGCCAUAAGGAAACCGAAGGGACCAAAAGUUAGUGAACAUGUCCAAGGCCUGGCAGGAAGGAGAAGAGGCCUUUUUGUGUGGGGUCUGGAUUGGUCCCCAGGGCUGUGCCGCUCCAGGUCGCCUAGUAGUACAUACCUUCAUCACCCUUUUCUACCUUCCACACCAACAGAGAACAGCUACUGCCAUUCCUGGUGUUCACAGUUGUGAUUCUACCUGAUUUCAAGAUUUUGAAUCCCAUUGCACAACCCUGCUGAACAUAGCCAUCCAGAGAAGUCUCUGGGGGCGCUGGUCCUCCUCCUGCUGGUACCUCCAGGAGGUAGCUGACCUGGCUGUGGACCAAGCACUGCAGAAAGACAGAGUUUUCCUUGUGUGCCAGGACCUGGGUCGCUUGCUCCAGCAUGAUGAGUGGCUGCCCCGCUUUGAAGGAGAAAACUGUGAGGCAGAGGCAACCCCAAGCCUGGAAGCCUCUGCAGAUGUCACUCUGCAAGAAGGUGGGAGACUUACCUAGAAACAAGAGGACCCAGAGGAGGGUGAGGAGGCCUGACAUGACUCUUGCUCCUGACAGAAGCUCAGGGUGACCUCUGGUCUCAAACUGCUGCCAAAAGCCACAGCUUGGUGAGUGGUUGAGGCCAGGUGGGGCCUGAGCCAAUUCCUGUCUUGUGCAAGGAUGUCAUUAAUAAGAGAAGUAGGAGAGGGAGGAAGAGGCUCUAGAGAGAGGAUAUACACAAAUCUAAUUGCAAGAUGAAGGGAAAGGGGAUGAAUAGUUUGAGUUCUGAGAAAUCAACUUUAAAAAUGUUGCUGGAGUCAUACUUGCCCGAAGAGGAAAUGUGGUGGGACGCUUCCUGUACUCUCAAACUCCCUUGAUGUGCAGGGGCCUGGAGCAGUGGCAUGAUUGACUUGUUACCUGAGUUAUAUUAGAUCCUAAAAGUAACCUAAUGAAAUAAACAGUAUUAUUCUCAGCUUUUGAAAUGUGGAAAUCAAGGCAGAAACUCAUUAAAGUCUGAACAGGUCUGGAGAACCAGGGUGGUCACAUGGUGCGAGGUAUGGCAGUAGACCUCUCUAAGGCCUCAUUUAGAAACUCUAUAGUAAUGGAGACAUAAGUAUGCUGUUUGCUUUGAGAAAAGGACAAGCACUGGAAAGUAAUUUCUGCCCAAAGUGCCUGCUCCCUAUGUGAGCUAUCAUUGGAAUUUGUCACUCACAGGUCCUGUUGCAGAUUUUCAGUGCUCCGAAAUUCAGCAGGAAAGUUGUGUGGUCUUGGGCAAGUUGUUUUGCUUCCUUUCUACUCUCGUCUAAUUUUCACCUGUAACUGAUCAACCCCAAGUGACCUUGUGUUCCUAGUCAACAGAUUGAAUGUGCCUCCACAGGCCCUAGGAGAGCUGAGAGAAUGAUGCUGUCAGCCAGGAUUCUUGGCCAAGGAUGAGCGAUAGCAGUUGGGAGUUUGGUCUUAGGAGUCAUUUGGGGGCAGUGCAUAGCUGUUAAGGGGAUUGACGAGGAUGGUAGUUGGGCUUCAGACUCAUGAUUUCCCUUUGUUCAGAGUACAGUGAGUUCAUGGCAGGAAGUGAGAUGGGGAUUUGUCUAGGUGGUAUACCAGAAAGAGAGCACAAUUUUGAGUGUACACAAGGACCAAUCUAAAUCACUGUGCUAGUCAAAUAGGCACAGGAAUACAAAGCAGAGUCACUUUCUUCCAGAUUUCUUACUGUAAAUUUACAUCUCCCAUCUGCACCUUUAUAAACAACAUAUUUCCCUGAUGGGAUUCCAGAGUCCUCCACAACCUUGCAACUUAAAAAAUUAUAGUAGAGAAGGCGUUGUGGGGCCUUUGCCUCCUUGAAUUGGUACCAGUGGAUGUCCUUAUUUGUGAUUUGUAAGUCACAAGUGAUUGCCAGAAGUGACCCAGGUAAACGUGUGACUGACAUCAUUCUCCUUUCCAAACUGGAAGAUGUUUGACUGCCUGGAAUGGUAACAACAAUAAUAAUUAACAGCAACGAUGUAAUGGAAUUCUUUGUUAUGGCCUUUUUUGGAGAAAACAACAUCAUAUGAGCAUCUGUGCCACAUACUUACCAGGAGGCAGGGUGGCUAAAAGUAGGGCUAGAGCCCACAGCAUGCCUUCUUCCCUGGGGCUUACAAAGAAAAGGACCAGAUUAUAAAAAGAGAAUAAACACCUCUCAAAACUCAAAUCCUGCUCAAAAUGGAAGGGAUCCCUCCAACAGUGACUGAAACCUGAUCCUCCUGACUGCAUCAGAAGCAGGGAGAAGUAACUGAGGAAGUGCCUGAGAAGACUAUCCAGCUGUUUACCCACAGAGUGGUGCUGGGAGGAGCCUCUGCCUCUGUGCUUCUGCCCACUUCUUUAGUGCCCCCAUAUGGCCACUGAGAGCAGGUCCUCUGCAGAGAAGGAGAAGCCAGGAGCCUAGAGAACUCAGAGCUAAAGCAGGUUGAACACAAAUGUGGGAAGCAGAGCCCUGGAUGAAAUUUGUCUGCCUUGUGGAAACAUGAAAAUCCCCCAGAAAUUCAGUUUUCAGGUUGAUGGUACUGCCUUGGUCUUGUCCUGAGAUGAAACUUCUUCAUCAUGUUCCUGAACCACCUUCACUUACAUUUGUAAAUAGAUGUUGGGAACAAUCAUCAACUGUAAAUCUGAUAAGCUUUGAGUCCAUUUUAUUAAAAAAAACUUGGAUCAAUUA